Molecule: ribosomal RNA, 363 nt
Filed under: uncultured bacterium
Lineage: Bacteria
Description: bacterial SSU rRNA
Rfam family: Bacterial small subunit ribosomal RNA
Source: RNAcentral
GAGAAGCAAUUCUCUUUUAGUGGCGAAAGGGUUAGUAAGGUAUGAGUAACCUGCCUUUUACUACGGAACAACGAUUGGAAACGAUCGCUAAUACUGUAUGACGUGGUUAGUGGCGACACUAAUUAACGAAAGUAGGGGACCUUGAGAGGGGCCUUGCGGUAAGAGAAGGGCUCAUAUAGUAUCAGCUAGUUGGUGAGGUAAUGGCUCACCAAGGCUAAGACGCUUAGGCGGACUGAGAGGUUGACCGCCAACACUGGGACUGAGACACUGCCCAGACUCCUACGGGAGGCAGCAGUCGAGAAUAAUUCGCAAUGGGCGCAAGCCUGACGAUGCGACGCCGUGUGAAUGAUGAAGGCCUUCGGG